AUACGUAGGGUGCGAGCGUUGUCCGGAAUUACUGGGCGUAAAGAGCUCGUAGGUGGUUUGUCGCGUCGUCUGUGAAAUUCCGGGGCUUAACUCCGGGCGUGCAGGCGAUACGGGCAUAACUUGAGUACUGUAGGGGAGACUGGAAUUCCUGGUGUAGCGGUGAAAUGCGCAGAUAUCAGGAGAAACACCGGUGGCGAAGGCGGGUCUCUGGGCAGUAACUGACGCUGAGGAGCGAAAGCAUGGGUAGCGAACAGGAUUAGAUACCCUGGUAGUCCAUGCCGUAGACGGUGGGCGCUAGGUGUAGGGGUCUUCCACGACUUCUGUGCCGUAGCUAACGCAUUAAGCGCCCCGCCUGGGGAGUACGGCCGCAAGGCUAAAACUCAAAGGAAUUGACGGGGG
Molecule: ribosomal RNA, 399 nt
Filed under: uncultured bacterium
Lineage: Bacteria
Description: partial 16S ribosomal RNA
Rfam family: Bacterial small subunit ribosomal RNA
Source: RNAcentral